GACGAACGCUGGCGGCGUGCUUAACACAUGCAAGUCGAACGGAAAGGCCCUGCUUUUGUGGGGUGCUCGAGUGCCGAACGGGUGAGUAACACGUGAGUAACCUGCCCUUGACUUUGGGAUAACUCCAGGAAACUGGGGCUAAUACCGGAUAGAAGCUCCUGCUCCAUGGGGGGGGUUGGAAAGUUUCGGCGGUGGGGGAUGGACUAGCGGCUUAUCAGCUUGUUGGGGGGGUAGGGGAUUACCAAGGCUUUGACGGGUAGCCGGCCUGAGAGGGUGACCGGCCACAUGGGGACUGAGAUACGGCCCAGACUCCUACGGGAGGCAGCAGUGGGGAAUAUUGCACAAUGGGCGGAAGCCUGAUGCAGCAACGCCGCGUGCGGGAUGACGGCCUUCGGGUUGUAAACCGCUUUCGCCUGUGACGAAGCGUGAGUGACGGUAAUGGGUAAAGAAGCACCGGCUAACUACGUG
This 468-nucleotide ribosomal RNA is filed under the name uncultured bacterium. RNAcentral describes it as "partial 16S ribosomal RNA". It matches the Rfam family "Bacterial small subunit ribosomal RNA", at positions 28 to 507 of the family's 1533-position model. The record is from RNAcentral.